UUCUUCGUUGAAGUGGAUAGGAUUAAAAUAGAACAAGAGACAUCUAAUAUAUAAAAGUUGUUUCUUUAUGGCACUUGGCAUAGGCAAGUGUUUUUCAGUGAAUCACAUAUGCAAGGAUUGAACCACAUUAAUUUACCUGCUAAGACCCAUUUGUUCUAACAGCUGAUCGCAGAGUUGAUCAUUCAUACCUUUAUAUGGAUUUUGGACCUAUGAAUAGGGACAUUCUCUUCACCCAUUUAAAUUUGAAUUUCUUCAACUUAAUGAUUCUGAAAUGGUCAGGUCCCUUCCAAUCUUGAUUAAUUCCCCUUAUCCUCGUCAAUUCUCUUAUGCCUUGUAGCAAUUCUCUUGAAUUCUGCUGUUCCUAUCCUUCCAAGAUAAUUUCAACACAACCCAGAGGGAUGUUUGCAUGUUGCCAAAGAAACAACUUUGAAAAAGAAAUAUGAACAGAUACACAACCAAACAAGGAAACUAUAUUUCAAUGCUGCUGCAGUCUUUCUUGCAUUACAUAAAAGAAGAGAUGGGAACAUGAGAACAUGACUGCCAAGUGCUAGCUUAAGGUUAGUUGCGAAUCUAGAAAAUGGCAUUUGGGUGCUGUUGCUGCCAAUCCUGAAUUGCAGAACGAAGAGAACGGUUGGGAACAAGAUUCAAGUUGUCAAGCACUAGGUUUGUCAUUGGUGAAGUGUUGUGCCCACUCUCCAGCCAGCCUGUCAAUGCCUCUGCUUCAUAAGUAAAUCCAUCUGCUGCCACAUGAGGAUCUUGCAUCACUUCCUGCAAAAUAGGACAAAAGAAAUAGGAAGGGGGCUGUUCACCCUCUUGAGAACCAAAUUGGACCAGUGGUGAGGAAAAUGUUCUCAUCGGUUCAAGCACCCUCCACACCUCUGAUGCAAGGUCUGGUCGGCUACUUUGGUACCUUGCGCAGCAACUCAAAGCCAGUUGAGCCAAUUGUUUGGCUUGGACAAAUGGCCAGUCGCCUCCUUGGGGAUCCAAAAAGGAACUCAGAUUUCUUUCAUCUAUCACAUCUCUGACUUCACUUGCUAUGCUAAAGGCUGAUCUUCCUGUCAAUAAUUGUAACAAUAUAAUUCCAAAUGAGUAAGUGUCUGAAUUCGGAGAGAGUUCUCCUGUUGCAAGGAAAUGAGGAUCCAGGUAGAGGAAAGUGCCCGUUGGGUCAGUUUCAUGAGAUAGUAUCAUGCCCCUUGGAUUUUCACAUAGAGAGAGUGCUCGACAGAAUCCAAAGUC
RNAcentral lists this unclassified non-coding RNA (1236 nucleotides) under Hevea brasiliensis (rubber tree). The record is from RNAcentral. Lineage: Eukaryota; Viridiplantae; Streptophyta; Magnoliopsida; Malpighiales; Euphorbiaceae.